CCUAAAGUGGUCUCUUGUGGAAGCCUUGUGUUCCCAUAGGGAUGAAUAUAAUUAACAUAUGCUAUGGGCCCUGGUCUAAAGUAGUGUUCUAUAUAUAGGGAAUAGGGCCCUGGUCUAUAUAGGGAAUAGGGCCCUGGUCUAUAUAGGGGAUAGGGCCCUGGUCUAUAGGGAAUAGGGCCCUGGUCUAAAGUAGUGUUCUAUAUAUAGGGAAUAGGGCCCUGGUCUAUAUAGGGAAUAGGGCCCUGGUCUAAAGUAGUGUCCUCUAUAUAGGGAAUAGGGCCCUGGUCUAUAUAGGGAAUAGGGCUCUGGUCUAUAUAGGGGAUAGGGCCCUGGUCUAAAGUAGUGUCCUCUAUAUAGGGAAUAGGGCCCUGGUCUAUAUAGGGAAUAGGGCCCUGGUCUAAAGUAGUGUUCUAUAUAUAGGGAAUAGGGCCCUGGUCUAUAUAGGGAAUAGGGCCCUGGUCUAUAUAGGGAAUAGGGCCCUGGUCUAAAGUAGUGUUCUAUAUAUAGGGAAUAGGGCCCUGGUCUAUAUAGGGAAUAGGGCCCUGGUCUAAAGUAGGCCCUGGUCUAUAGGGAAUAGGGCCCUGGUCUAAAGUAGUGUCCUCUAUAUAGGGAAUAGGGCCCUGGUCUAUAUAGGGAAUAGGGCCCUGGUCUAUAU
This 655-nucleotide long non-coding RNA is filed under the name Salmo salar (Atlantic salmon). Its description in RNAcentral is "lncRNA (ENSSSAG00000103023.1)". Lineage: Eukaryota; Metazoa; Chordata; Actinopteri; Salmoniformes; Salmonidae. The record is from RNAcentral.